CUGAGGUCCUUCCCCAUAAACUCCGGAGCUGAAUGAAACUUUCCUGCUGUUCAGAGCCCUCCUGGGACAUCUUAAAGCUGUUCAGUUUUCAAAUGGACAUAAAUCCCUAAAGGCAUUUCUGAAACAUGUUCUCCCCUCUGCCGAAUCUGUUCUGAGAAUCUUCCACACGACCUCUGUGUAUUCCAAGAACUCACCAUGAGGACCAGCCCUUCCAUGCCCUCUGAGGGAGCUCUAUCAAGAUGAAACUGAAAGGGAACAUUAUACUAAACCCACUUAGUUAUUUAGAAUAUAAUGGCCGUUCAAAUUUUGUUCCGACUUUAUUUUUUGGCACUUUUAUUUUGAUAAUAAAGAAACUAUAGUUUCGUGGGGCACUUUGGGUAAUUUAAGAUGGCGUUUUACUAGCAGCCCGUGGUUUUGCGCGACUUUUGAAAGUUGGAAGACGCCGAAUGUCAGCAAUUCUUCAACCGUUUUCCCUAAAUACAUGAAUAUUGUUUGCUUGGAAUAACGGUUUGCCUUUAAUAACCUUUUUAUUUACAAUGCCGUUUCUGUCACUCGUUAUUAAAUGAACUCUGAACACAAAUCUAAAUGACUGGAUUCUUGGACGGAUUGUGUAUGCAAAUAUAUACCGCGGCCCUGUUUCAUGAAGCGGGAUUAAUUAGUUAUCUUGAUAAUUGCGCUGAAUGAAACCCGGAACAAAUCUGGAACAUGGACUGAAGUAAAAAGAGCUGUUGAUGGUUUUACUCAUCGUAGUUAUCCAGCUCAGUAAUCCUGCUUCGUGGAAUAUCACCCAGAUCUGGAUGGAUUGCGGAUUCAUCUACUGCUCGUUUGGAACAACGCUGACGAACCUGCUGCCUUUCCCGUUUCCUUAGAGCUCAUCACUUAGGGCUGAGAGGACGAGGUGCUCCGACAGGGCGGACUGACGAUGUCAUGGGCCAGGAUGUCCAUCACAGCAAGCGGGAGGACUAGCAGGGCGAGCGCUGCUCUUCCAAACUCACACGUCUCCGUCCUUCAGGGACCUCCAUGUUCAUCUGCAUUCUGCCACAACUCUUGAGUAAAACCGCCAUUUGAGGGCAGAAAAUAAACCACGAAUCCAUUAUGCCUGACCUUCAUGCAUUUUCA
Molecule: long non-coding RNA, 1119 nt
Organism: Anguilla anguilla (European eel)
Lineage: Eukaryota; Metazoa; Chordata; Actinopteri; Anguilliformes; Anguillidae
Exons: 3
Source: RefSeq, a predicted model, not a curated record